Molecule: long non-coding RNA, 227 nt
Filed under: Prunus persica (peach)
Lineage: Eukaryota; Viridiplantae; Streptophyta; Magnoliopsida; Rosales; Rosaceae
Description: long non-coding RNA (PPER_LNC003454)
Source: RNAcentral
CUUUUUUGCGGGCUGCGUCUUCCGAAGGAUGCUUCUAGUCGUCGCCCUGUUUCACUCGAAGGGGGCUGCUUAUGGGCAACUGUUUUUUGUUGCGGCAUAUUCUGGAAUUUGCAGUAGUUGCUUCUCUUCUUCAGAAAUGUGUAGUGCUCAGUCAUCUGCUGGGGACUGAGCAGGUAGGAGGAAGUUUAUGGAUAAUAUCUUUGGAGGUGGUAGGCAUUCCAUUGUCG